UCUUGGCGGCAGAGUGUCCUGGCGA
Molecule: unclassified non-coding RNA, 25 nt
Filed under: Mus musculus (house mouse)
Lineage: Eukaryota; Metazoa; Chordata; Mammalia; Rodentia; Muridae
Description: oocyte_clustered_small_RNA5271
Source: RNAcentral